GGAGUCGGCCGAACAGUCGCUGCACCGCUGGUGUGGAGGAAAGUCCGGGCUUCACAGGGCAGGGUGCCAGGUAAUGCCUGGGAGGCGCGAGCCUACGGAAAGUGCCACAGAAAAUAUACCGCCAGCGGUUUUCGACUGCUGGUAAGGGUGAAAAGGUGCGGUAAGAGCGCACCGCGUCGCGGGUAACCGUCGGCGGCAUGGUAAACCCCACCCGAAGCAAGGCCAAAUAGGGAUGCAUUGGCGUGGCCCGCGUCGCAUCCGGGUAGGCCGCUCGAGGCGGUUGGUGACAGCCGUCCCAGAUGAAUGACUGUUCUCGACAAAACCCGGCUUACAGGCCGACUCCUUUU
RNAcentral lists this RNase P RNA (347 nucleotides) under Wenzhouxiangellaceae bacterium. RNAcentral's name for it is "RNase P RNA component class A". It matches the Rfam family "Bacterial RNase P class A". Rfam says of the family: Ribonuclease P (RNase P) is a ubiquitous endoribonuclease, found in archaea, bacteria and eukarya as well as chloroplasts and mitochondria. Its best characterised activity is the generation of mature 5'-ends of tRNAs by cleaving the 5'-leader elements of precursor-tRNAs. Lineage: Bacteria; Pseudomonadati; Pseudomonadota; Gammaproteobacteria; Chromatiales; Wenzhouxiangellaceae. The record is from RNAcentral.